Molecule: unclassified non-coding RNA, 350 nt
Filed under: plant metagenome
Description: partial contains 5.8S ribosomal RNA, internal transcribed spacer 2, and large subunit ribosomal RNA
Rfam family: 5.8S ribosomal RNA (bases 1-105)
Source: RNAcentral
GAAAUGCGAUAAGUAAUGUGAAUUGCAGAAUUCAGUGAAUCAUCGAAUCUUUGAACGCACCUUGCGCUCCUUGGUAUUCCGAGGAGCAUGCCUGUUUGAGUGUCAUGGAAUUCUCAACUCUAUUUGCUUUUGUGAAUAGAGCUUGAAUUUGGAGGUUUAUUGCUGGUACUUGUGAUCGGCUCCUCUUGAAUGCAUUAGCUCGAACCUUUGCGGAUCAGCUAUCGGUGUGAUAAUUGUCUACGCCGUUGCAGUGAAGCAUAUCAAUGGGCUCGGCUUCCAAUCGUCCUUUACUGGACAAUGACUUUGACCUUUGACCUCAAAUCAGGUAGGAUUACCCGCUGAACUUAAGC